RNAcentral lists this ribosomal RNA (468 nucleotides) under uncultured bacterium. RNAcentral's name for it is "partial 16S ribosomal RNA". It matches the Rfam family "Bacterial small subunit ribosomal RNA", at positions 28 to 507 of the family's 1533-position model. The record is from RNAcentral.
GACGAACGCUGGCGGCGUGCUUAACACAUGCAAGUCGAACGGAAAGGCCCUGCUCUUGUGGGGUGCUCGAGUGGCGAACGGGUGUGUAACACGUGAGUAACCUGCCCUUGACUUUGGGAUAACUACAGGAAACUGGGGCAAAUACCGGAUAGGAGCUCCUGCUGCAUGGUGGGGGUUGGAAAGUUUCGGCGGUUGGGGAUGGACUCGCGGCUUAUCCGCUUGUUGGUGGGGUAGUGGCUUACCAAGGCUUUGACGGGAAGCCGGCCUGAGGGGGUGACCGGCAACAUGGGGACUGGAAUACGGCCCGGACUCCUCCGGGGGGCGGCGGUGGGGAAUAUUGCACAAUGGGCGGAGGCCUGAUGCAGCAACGCCGCGUGCGGGAUGACGGCCUUCGGUUGGUAAACCGCUUUCGCCUGUGACGAAGCGUGAGUGACGGUAGUGGGUAAAGAAGCACCGGCUAACUACGUG